CCUACGGGGGGCAGCAGUGGGGAAUAUUGGACAAUGGGGGGAACCCUGAUCCAGCCAUGCCGCGUGUGUGAAGAAGGCCCUCGGGUUGUAAAGCACUUUCAGUGAGGAAGAACGCCUGGUGGUUAAUACCCAUCAGGAAAGACAUCACUCACAGAAGAAGCACCGGCUAACUCCGUGCCAGCAGCCGCGGUAAUACGGAGGGUGCGAGCGUUAAUCGGAAUUACUGGGCGUAAAGCGCGCGUAGGUGGCUUGAUAAGCCGGUUGUGAAAGCCCCGGGCUCAACCUGGGAACGGCAUCCGGAACUGUCAAGCUAGAGUGCAGGAGAGGAAGGUAGAAUUCCCGGUGUAGCGGUGAAAUGCGUAGAGAUCGGGAGGAAUACCAGUGGCGAAGGCGGCCUUCUGGACUGACACUGACACUGAGGUGCGAAAGCGUGGGUAGCAAACAGGAUUAAAUACCCUGGUAGUC
This 465-nucleotide ribosomal RNA is filed under the name Vreelandella stevensii. Its description in RNAcentral is "partial 16S ribosomal RNA". It matches the Rfam family "Bacterial small subunit ribosomal RNA", at positions 338 to 795 of the family's 1533-position model. Lineage: Bacteria; Pseudomonadati; Pseudomonadota; Gammaproteobacteria; Oceanospirillales; Halomonadaceae. The record is from RNAcentral.